AUUGUUCACAAUGGGCGCAAGCCUGAUCCAGCAAUGCCGCGUGAGUGAUGAAGGCCUUAGGGUUGUAAAGCUCUUUUACCCGGGAAGAUAAUGACUGUACCGGGAGAAUAAGCCCCGGCUAACUCCGUGCCAGCAGCCGCGGUAAUACGUAGGGGGCAAGCGUUGUCCGGACUUACUGGGCGUAAAGCGCGCGCAGGUGGUGGCGGAUGUGCCGUGUGAAAGCGCCGACCAAACGCGGCGAGGCCACGGUAGACACCGUCACUCGAGCCUCGGAGAGGCCGGUGGAAUUCCGGGUGGAGCGGUGAAAUGCGUAGAGAUCCGGAGGAACACCUGAGGCGAAAGCGGCCGGCUGGCCGAGUGCUGACACUGAGGCGCGAAAGCGUGGGGAGCGAAC
Molecule: ribosomal RNA, 394 nt
Filed under: uncultured bacterium
Lineage: Bacteria
Description: bacterial SSU rRNA
Rfam family: Bacterial small subunit ribosomal RNA
Source: RNAcentral